RNAcentral lists this ribosomal RNA (379 nucleotides) under uncultured eukaryote. RNAcentral's name for it is "partial 18S ribosomal RNA". It matches the Rfam family "Eukaryotic small subunit ribosomal RNA", at positions 592 to 975 of the family's 1831-position model. The record is from RNAcentral.
CAAUAGCGUAUAUUAAAGUUGUUGCGGUUAAAAAGCUCGUAGUUGGAUUUCUGCCGAGGACGACCGGUCCGCCCUCCGGGUGAGUAUCUGGCUCGGCCUGGGCAUCUUCUUGGAGAACGUAACUGCACUUGGCUGUGUGGUGCGGUAUUCAGGACUUUUACUUUGAGGAAAUUAGAGUGUUUCAAGCAGGCACACGCCUUGAAUACAUUAGCAUGGAAUAAUAAGAUAGGACCUCGGUUCUAUUUUGUUGGUUUCUAGAUCUGAGGUAAUGAUUAAUAGGGAUAGUUGGGGGCAUUCGUAUUUAACUGUCAGAGGUGAAAUUCUUGGAUUUAUGAAAGACGAACUUCUGCGAANGNAUUUGCNAAGGAUGUUUNCAUUA